Molecule: non-coding RNA, 45 nt
Filed under: Schistosoma curassoni
Lineage: Eukaryota; Metazoa; Platyhelminthes; Trematoda; Strigeidida; Schistosomatidae
Source: RNAcentral
AUCCACUUGAAGAGUCCCAAAUAGGACGAAACACGCCUCAUGAAU